UACGUAGGCUGCGAGCGUUGUUCGGAGUUACUGGGCGUAAAGGGUGUGUAGGCGGCUGGUUAAGUUUGGUGUGAAAUCUCCCGGCUCAACUGGGAGGGUGCGCCGAAUACUGAAUGACUUGGAGUGCGGGAGAGGAGAGUGGAAUUCCUGGUGUAGCGGUGAAAUGCGUAGAUAUCAGGAGGAACACCGGUGGUGUAGACGGCUCUCUGGACCGUAACUGACGCUGAGACACGAAAGCGUGGGUAGCAAACAGG
RNAcentral lists this ribosomal RNA (254 nucleotides) under uncultured bacterium. Its description in RNAcentral is "partial 16S ribosomal RNA". It matches the Rfam family "Bacterial small subunit ribosomal RNA", at positions 524 to 776 of the family's 1533-position model. The record is from RNAcentral.